GAUGAAGAACGUAGCGAAAUGCGAUAAGUAAUGUGAAUUGCAGAAUUCAGUGAAUCAUCGAAUCUUUGAACGCACAUUGCGCCCUCUGGUAUUCCGGGGGGCAUGCCUGUUCGAGCGUCAUUAUAACCACUCAAGCUCUCGCUUGGUAUUGGGGUUCGCGGUUCCGCGGCCCCUAAAAUCAGUGGCGGUGCCUGUCGGCUCUACGCGUAGUAAUACUCCUCGCGAUUGAGUCCGGUAGGUUUACUUGCCAGCAACCCCCAAUUUUUACAGGUUGACCUCGGAUCAGGUAGGGAUACCCGCUGAACUUAAGCAUAUCAAUAAGCGGAGGA
RNAcentral lists this unclassified non-coding RNA (329 nucleotides) under soil metagenome. RNAcentral describes it as "partial contains 5.8S ribosomal RNA, internal transcribed spacer 2, and large subunit ribosomal RNA". The stretch from base 1 to 120 matches the Rfam family "5.8S ribosomal RNA", at positions 35 to 154 of the family's 154-position model. The record is from RNAcentral.